GUAUGAUUUAUAAAUUAUGAUGCCGUGUCCGCGCCGUACCCGUAUCAUGUAUUUUUAAGAAUUGAUGUGUCCCGUAUCCGUAUCGUGUCGUAUCCGUGUCUCCGUAUUCGUAUCGGUGCAACAUAGUGGACAAUUAAAUGAGCCCUUAUUUGAAAUACAGUUUCAUCAAAUUCUGAUAUCAUUGAUGCUUAAGUUUUAUGUUUAUAACUCUGCAAGCGAAGUGGAAAAAAUGUUUGAGAAGUUUGGUUGGAACUUUUCUGUUUGUUUACAAGUAGGAUUUAGUUAACCCUUUAAAUUCAGAUUUUUAAUCUUGAGCAUAUUAGAACAAGAAAAUUUCUUGGCAUGUUAAUUGUUAAAUCUUGCUAAAUCUUGAUACACUAUUAGAUCAUUUGUUCCGGUGUUUAAGAUUUGUAAGAGGGUGAAAUCCUUAAAUAAUACUGUGAAUAGUGGACAGAUCUUGUAUUUAACCUACACUGAAGUUGAAAUGAAUUAAUCAAAACAGUAGGAUUUAACAAACAUUUAGCUGGACUUCUGUUAAAUCAUGCCUAAAUCCUGUGUAAAAUAGGAUACCGAACAAGCCCUAAGGGAUGUUGGUUCUUUCAUAGGCUUUGGUCGCACCUUUGGUUUACUUUUUCCUUUUUUACUCUUACUUCUCUGUAGGAAAUUGCCUUGCCGCUUAAUUCAUCAUCUAAGAGUGUGGGGUUUCAUUUGGAUUUUUUUUUUGUGCACAUUAGCAUUAUUAUUUUCUGAAAACUGUACUGUUUGCUGCUCUUCACUCUAGAUAUGCUUGGACUAUUUUUUAUAAUUUUUACUUGCUUUCUCGCCAUGUUCGAUCUUACUUGAGGGUAAAGACGUUCAAGUAAAGGUAUACUUCCCAAAUAAAUCUGCAUUUAUUAUCAUUGGGUGCUUUAGUUUGCCAAUUACCUUUUACCUUGCCUAGAGUGGGGACACAAGGGGGGAUGUUAGUAAUAAAGAGUAUGAUGGAGCAAUGUUGUUAAGAAAAAAACGAGGAAAAGCCAAAUGAAAAGGCUCUGGAAGCAGCAACUUGAUCUUUGGUUCCUUACGUGAUGAAGAAAACUAAUCCAAGCGAAUCAUGUUCUGAGUUCGUACUAACAGUGAUGUCAUAUUUAUAGUUUUCAAUCUGAUAAGGAAUCUUGGAUUGCUUCUGUUGCUCGGGCCUAAAGCUAUAUUUUCCUAAUUUAUGUUUUAAUAUUGGUUCUCUUAUCUUACCAAAUUGCCCAUUUCAACAUUGCUUGAGGGGGAGAUGGAGAAUUCAUAUGAAGAGGAUGAUGGAAGCAAUGUUGUAAGGAGUAUGCGGGGCUAAGCUAAUGAGGAAGAAUCUCGAAAUCUUUGGAUGGAGGUAGAAUUCAUUUGGAGAGGAUGAUGGAGUGCGGUUGUGAGGAAGUGAGGAGAAGUUGAAGAAUGUUCAAGAAGUGGAAGCUUGAGUUUCACACAUGAUGAAGAAAACUAAUCCCAUACAAAUCAUGCUCUGAUGGCUUCUAUUGUUAUGAAUCUGAUAUGGUAUUAGGGAUUAGUCCUUCUCGUGUCUAAUUCUAUUCUCCCCAAAUAAUUUUUACAUUUAGGAUCUUAAAAAAUUGUUCUUUUGGUUCAACUGGAGAGGAGAGGUGGGAAAACUCUUCAUUGGAUAAGAUGGAGGCAGUGGGAAGAAAUUGAAGAAGGCUCUGGAAGUGUCAGCUUGAAGUCUUAAUCCACAUGAUUUAGGUCAAAUUUCGGAAAUAUUUUAACAAAAUCCCGCCAAACGCCAAGAAAAUACAAAGUUAAAUCUCACGGUAAGUCUAAUCUCUACUUCAUGGCGUUUUGGCCAUUUAUGCCCUAAAUCCUGGAUUUCAUAAAUCUGACUUUUUUUGUGGAUUUCAUAAAUUCGACAAAGAAGCGUGUGAAGGGGAGAAAUAUUGUUACCUUCACGGAGAACUCCCGGGGCGAUUUCCAAUAUGACAGGAACAACGUGUCUUAUAAGGCGGAGAAGCUUCAACUCUUUCAAAACCCUACUUCAUGUGAAGCAGAACAACAACGAAUAAAUGCAGAAGAGGAAAAGCAAACCCUAGAUAUUAGUAUGAACAGUAUGAUGGAGCAAUGUUUUUAAUAAAAAAGGGAGGAAAAGCCAAAUGAAAAGGCUCUGGAAGCAGCAACUUGAUCUUUGGUUCCUUACGUGAUGAAGAAAACUAAUCCCAAGCGAAUCAUGUUCUGAGUUCGUACUAACAGUGAUGCCAUAUUUAUAGUUUUCAUUCUGAUAAG
This is a long non-coding RNA of Dendrobium catenatum, 2256 nucleotides long. RefSeq lists it as uncharacterized. The record is from RefSeq and is a predicted model, not a curated record. NCBI's taxonomy places the organism in Eukaryota, Viridiplantae, Streptophyta, Magnoliopsida, Asparagales, Orchidaceae. The transcript has 3 exons.